This 932-nucleotide long non-coding RNA is filed under the name Phascolarctos cinereus (koala). RNAcentral describes it as "lncRNA (ENSPCIG00000021206.2)". The record is from RNAcentral. Lineage: Eukaryota; Metazoa; Chordata; Mammalia; Diprotodontia; Phascolarctidae.
AGGACAUCGACUGCCGAGCCCAGCAGAACUUGGUGGCUGCCCUAGAUGGCGUGUUUGACCAUUUGACAGAUGACCAAAGGAUACUAGUGCACAACUGGAUCCGAAGCUAUCUUGAGGCCCAUCUUCAGACACAAGGCACCACCUGUUCUGCUGAUGCUACCAGCAGCCUCUGGAUCACCCACAAUUACAGGCGUUUCCGGGCUUUUGCCACUAUGGAAGAAUUCUCAACCCUCAAUCUGAAUUUUGAGGGGUUUUCAGCGCUGACCGAGCUAUCUGUAGGCCAGCUGGCCCAGGUCAUGGUGCAGACAGGUGCGAUCGCUGAUGAAGCUACCAUUCUGAAAGUCAUGGGCCAGAUAAGUACAACCUUGGACCUGGCACAAUUUUUUAACAGCCUCAAUGCCCUAUCCCAAGCCCAGCUCCAAGGCAGCGUCCACGCGAGCCUCCUGCUCGGCCUGGCCUUCCGGCACCUAUCUCAACACUUUCCCAAGUUCCAGAGCACAGACUUUGCCUACUGGUUCCAGAGUGGCCUCCAGAAUGUACUGCAGGCGGUGAAUGAGACCUUUGUUGCCCAGAUCCCCCUGACCAUCUCAUGUGAUGCUUACCAGAACAUGUAGGUCCUGAGGCUGGCCGGGAGCAUUCGCUUACCCCUAUUCCCUGUCCCUAUAUCCAGGAGACAAGACCACCGGGAAAAUUGUUCAGGGGCCUCUUCUCCCUAGGGAGAGGGAUCCUUCUGAUGCAUCAUAGGGACAGCAGUUUAGGGCCAGAAGGAAUCUGAAAGGUCGUCUAGUCCAAUCCCUUCAUUUUACAGUUAACAAAAAUGAAUCUCAGAGAGGUUAAUUUUAUUUUCUACAUAUAAUCUAAUGGUUUUAUUUUAUUAAGUCACAGAACAAAUCCCCUUAAUAAAAGGAUUUGUUCUAUAAAACUCGGACUCA